RNAcentral lists this ribosomal RNA (111 nucleotides) under Triticum aestivum (bread wheat). RNAcentral's name for it is "partial small subunit ribosomal RNA". Lineage: Eukaryota; Viridiplantae; Streptophyta; Magnoliopsida; Poales; Poaceae. The record is from RNAcentral.
UUUCUGUUUGGAAUCAUCUUAGGCCUAAUUCCUAUUACUUUAACAGGAUUAUUUGUGACUGCGUUUUUGCAAGACAGACGUGGGGGUCAAUUGGAUGGUUUAGUGUUUUGA